GGGAGGAUCUGAAGGGCUGCUCUGGGCUUUGCAUGAGAAAGAGAUAGAUCUCGCGGGUUUGGGGAAACUGUAGUGUGUGGAGUGGAGCGUGAGGUUGUGGGAUGGAGAUGGGUUGGAGAACUUGAAAGGGAGGAGUCGGUGGGCAGGGGUAGAGGAGACAGAUCUAGGGUUGAGCAGCUUGAACGAGGAAGAGAAGUUCCUGAGAGCAGGGGUAGAAGAAGCCAUUAUCAGAGAAAGCUAUCAAACGAGAAAGAAAGAAAAAGAAUGAUAG
This 271-nucleotide long non-coding RNA is filed under the name Vitis vinifera (wine grape). Its description in RNAcentral is "long non-coding RNA (VVIN_LNC004760)". Lineage: Eukaryota; Viridiplantae; Streptophyta; Magnoliopsida; Vitales; Vitaceae. The record is from RNAcentral.